GACGAACGCUGGCGGCGUGCUUAACACAUGCAAGUCGAACGGAAAGGCCCUGCUUUUGUGGGGUGCUCGAGUGGCGAACGGGUGAGUAACACGUGAGUAACCUGCCCUUGACUUUGGGAUAACUUCAGGAAACUGGGGCUAAUACCGGAUAGGAGCUCCUGCUGCAUGGUGGGGGUUGGAAAGUUUCGGCGGUUGGGGAUGGACUGGCGGCUUAUCAGCUUGUUGGGGGGGUAGUGGCUAACCAAGGCUUGGACGGGUAGCCGGCCUGGGAGGGGAACCGGACCAGUGAGACUGGGACGGAGACACGGCCCAGACGGGGACGGGAGGGAGGAGUGGGGAACACUGGGGAAGGGGCGAAAGGCCGACACAGCGCUGCCGGGUGAGUGGUCCAGGGGUUAGGGAAGCAAAGCCCCUUUACCCGGGGUGAGAAUGACGGUAAUGGGAGAAUAAGCCCCGGCUAACUACGUG
This 468-nucleotide ribosomal RNA is filed under the name uncultured bacterium. Its description in RNAcentral is "partial 16S ribosomal RNA". It matches the Rfam family "Bacterial small subunit ribosomal RNA", at positions 28 to 507 of the family's 1533-position model. The record is from RNAcentral.